This 419-nucleotide long non-coding RNA is filed under the name Ictidomys tridecemlineatus (thirteen-lined ground squirrel). RNAcentral describes it as "lncRNA (ENSSTOG00000032382.1)". Lineage: Eukaryota; Metazoa; Chordata; Mammalia; Rodentia; Sciuridae. The record is from RNAcentral.
GAUGCUAUGAGUGUAUUUGCUCUAUUAUCUCAAAACUUUCCUAUCUUUCAGGUAGAUGCCUUCCCAGUCUCUGAGAUUCCCUCUGAGCCAUCUUCCUCCCGUUUUUGUCUAAGUGAAUAAAACUGGUAGUUGGGGAUAUGUCAGAAGGUCCUGGACAUUGGAGUAACAAGGGAAAAGAGAACCACAGAAAAUAACAGUGAGCCUUGAAUAAAAGGUAAUAUGCUGUCAAACUCUGCAAAGACCCCCUUGAUAGUAGUGGCUGCUGUCCAUGCUCAACACUGGUACAUAGGAUGCAGGAGAACAGCUACUCAUAUAGAAUUCAAGGAAUUGCAAGACUAUUUCUUAACAUUAUAUGGAGCAAAUAUUACCUAAGUAAGUGGUGUUAUUGUGCGGUGUGUAUGUGUAUGUGUGUGCAUGUG